GACGAACGCUGGCGGCGUGCUUAACACAUGCAAGUCGAACGGAAAGGCCUUGCUUUUGUGGGGUGUUCGAGUGGCGAACGUGUGAGAAACACGUGAGUAACCUGCCCUUGAUGUUGGGAUAACUUCAGGAAACCGGGGCUAAUACCGGAAAGGAGCGCCUGCUGCAUGGGGGGGGUCGGAAAGUUUCGGCGGAUGGGGUUGGACUCGGGGCUUAUCAGCUUGUUGGUGGGGUAGUGGGUUACGAAGGCUUCGACGGGUAGCCGGCCGGAGAGGGUGACCGGCCACAUUGGGACUGAGAUACGGCCCAGACUCCUACGGGAGGCAGACGUGGGGAAUAUUGCACAAUGGGCGGAAGCCUGAUGCGGCAACGCCGCGUGCGGGAUGACGGCCUUCUGGUUGUCGACCGCUUUCGCCUGUGACGAAGCGUGAGUGACGGUAAUGGGUAAAGAAGCACCGGCUAACUACGUG
This 468-nucleotide ribosomal RNA is filed under the name uncultured bacterium. RNAcentral describes it as "partial 16S ribosomal RNA". It matches the Rfam family "Bacterial small subunit ribosomal RNA", at positions 28 to 507 of the family's 1533-position model. The record is from RNAcentral.